CUAUGCGCCUUGCCAGCCCGCUCAGGUGUGCCAGCCGCCGCGGUAAUACGUAGGGGGCUAGCGUUAUCCGGAAUUACUGGGCGUAAAGGGUGCGUAGGUGGUUUCUUAAGUCAGAGGUGAAAGGCUACGGCUCAACCGUAGUAAGCCUUUGAAACUGGGGAACUUGAGUGCAGGAGAGGAGAGUGGAAUUCCUAGUGUAGCGGUGAAAUGCGUAGAUAUUAGGAGGAACACCAGUGGCGAAGGCGGCCGCCUGGCCUGUUGCUGACGCUGAGGCACGAAAGCGUGGGGAGCAAAUAGG
Molecule: ribosomal RNA, 298 nt
Filed under: uncultured bacterium
Lineage: Bacteria
Description: partial 16S ribosomal RNA
Rfam family: Bacterial small subunit ribosomal RNA
Source: RNAcentral